UCAAACUUGGUCAUUUAGAGGAAGUAAAAGUCGUAACAAGGUUUCCGUAGGUGAACCUGCGGAAGGAUCAUUACCAAAUCAACGGCCGAAAGGCCUUGCCCUAGGUCUGGGGGAACCCAGGCCGACGGUAAACCCCCUUGUGAAACCCUUCUCGUUUGCCUCGGCGGCACACCCUCCCUCUCGCGGGGGGGUGGUGGUCAGCCCGCCGACGGCACCCAACCGAAACUCUUUUUUAUUGAAUUGAAGCCGGUCUGAAUCAAUGGUCGAAUGACUAUAAAACUUUCAACAACGGAUCUCUUGGUUCCCGCAUCGAUGAAGAACGCAGC
RNAcentral lists this unclassified non-coding RNA (326 nucleotides) under uncultured fungus. Its description in RNAcentral is "partial contains small subunit ribosomal RNA, internal transcribed spacer 1, and 5.8S ribosomal RNA". The stretch from base 1 to 73 matches the Rfam family "Eukaryotic small subunit ribosomal RNA", at positions 1759 to 1831 of the family's 1831-position model. Lineage: Eukaryota; Fungi. The record is from RNAcentral.